Molecule: long non-coding RNA, 683 nt
Organism: Cervus elaphus (red deer)
Lineage: Eukaryota; Metazoa; Chordata; Mammalia; Artiodactyla; Cervidae
Exons: 4
Source: RefSeq, a predicted model, not a curated record
GGACUUUCCAGGCAAGAGUACUGGAGUGGGGUGCCAUUGCCUUCUCCGUGAUUCUUACUAAACUUAUAAGGCAAAUGCCCCAAAGGGAAGAGAUGAUCUGUCAUGAUGUCUGACCACCAUGAGAACAAAAAUGAGAAAGCAUGUCAUCAACACGAACUUGUGUCCUGGGAGGAGCUGGACUCACUGACACACGACCUGGAGCAGAACUGAGUCCUCCGAGAGCUCCACAGAGAAUGUGACGAUGGAGGUGAGCUCACUGCCUCUUUCCUGGGAAGAUGAAGGUGCUCUGCACAGACAGGCUCAUGUCUCACCUCUCCUCUCUGCAGGACUUUGAGAUGGGGUCUAACUGAAAAGGUCCAUUUGGGGUCCUUUCGCUGCCUAAAUUGGGAGAACAUCUAUGAUCAAUCUAAACACAGAUCUACCCUCAUCUUUGUUGAUCUGAUUUGAUGCAGCACACCAGAGCCUCUGGCCUCAGGAGGCAGAGAAGAACAAGUGGGUUUAUGGAUCUGAAGGGUGGUCUUGGAUGCUCUUCUGGUGGGAGAAGGGCCCCCUCGCCUGGUGCUGCCCAAUCAAGCCCAGGCAAUGGGGUCUGCCCCCAGGCCUGCAGACUGUCUUCAACAUGAUGGCUGAUGUCGAGAGGGGAGAAGCAGGGAGCUAGUGGGAGUGAAGGUGCCUCCCGCAAA